This 486-nucleotide ribosomal RNA is filed under the name uncultured bacterium. RNAcentral describes it as "partial 16S ribosomal RNA". It matches the Rfam family "Bacterial small subunit ribosomal RNA", at positions 30 to 507 of the family's 1533-position model. The record is from RNAcentral.
AUUGAACGCUGGCGGCAUGCCUUACACAUGCAAGUCGAACGGCAGCACGGGUGCUUGCACCUGGUGGCGAGUGGCGAACGGGUGAGUAAUACAUCGGAACAUGUCCUGUAGUGGGGGAUAGCCCGGCGAAAGCCGGAUUAAUACCGCAUACGAUCUACGGAUGAAAGCGGGGGACCUUCGGGCCUCGCGCUAUAGGGUUGGCCGAUGGCUGAUUAGCUAGUUGGUGGGGUAAAGGCCUACCAAGGCGACGAUCAGUAGCUGGUCUGAGAGGACGACCAGCCACACUGGGACUGAGACACGGCCCAGACUCCUACGGGAGGCAGCAGUGGGGAAUUUUGGACAAUGGGCGGAAGCCUGAUCCAGCAAUGCCGCGUGUGUGAAGAAGGCCUUCGGGUUGUAAAGCACUUUUGUCCGGAAAGAAAUCCUUGGCUCUAAUACAGUCGGGGGAUGACGGUACCGGAAGAAUAAGCACCGGCUAACUACGUG